RNAcentral lists this small RNA (3329 nucleotides) under Pongo abelii (Sumatran orangutan). RNAcentral describes it as "processed transcript". The record is from RNAcentral. Lineage: Eukaryota; Metazoa; Chordata; Mammalia; Primates; Hominidae.
CAGCUGGCCUGCUUUUAGUCCAAAGGAACAGGGGUUGGGGGAAGUUCCCAGGGCUUGAGAGGUCUUGAAGCCAAACAGGGGUUCCAGGGACACUAGGGUGCCCACUCUGGCAUUUUCUCUCCUUCCCUUCAAUUCACAGACUCUGGUGGAGCAACGUUCAGGUGGUUCAGGAAAGGGCAGCAAUAAGGUGAGGUCUGGACAGAGGACUUGGGGGCAGGGGGAGCUUGCCAAAGAGCCUUCUGAUGACUAUGUCUUUGGCUGUCCCAGGGGCCACUAGGUGUGACAGAGGAACUGCACAUCAUCAGCUUCACGGUCAAAUAUACCUACCAGGGUCUGAAGCAGGAGCUGAAAACGGACACCCUCCCUGUGGUGAUUAUUUCCAACAUGAACCAGCUCUCAAUUGCCUGGGCUUCAGUUCUCUGGUUCAAUUUGCUCAGCCCAAACCUUCAGAACCAGCAGUUCUUCUCCAACCCCCCCAAGGCCCCCUGGAGCUUGCUGGGCCCUGCUCUCAGUUGGCAGUUCUCCUCCUAUGUUGGCCGAGGCCUCAACUCAGACCAGCUGAGCAUGCUGAGAAACAAGCUGUUCGGGCAGAACUGUAGGACUGAGGAUCCAUUAUUGUCCUGGGCUGACUUCACUAAGCGAGAGAGCCCUCCUGGCAAGUUACCAUUCUGGACAUGGCUGGACAAAAUUCUGGAGUUGGUACAUGACCACCUGAAGGAUCUCUGGAAUGAUGGACGCAUCAUGGGCUUUGUGAGUCGGAGCCAGGAGCGCCGGCUGCUGAAGAAGACCAUCUCUGGCACCUUUCUACUGCGCUUCAGUGAAUCGUCAGAAGGGGGCAUUACCUGCUCCUGGGUGGAGCACCAGGAUGAUGACAAGGUGCUCAUCUACUCUGUGCAACCCUACACCAAGGAGGUGCUGCAGUCACUCCCGCUGACUGAAAUCAUCCGCCAUUACCAGUUGCUCACUGAGGAGAAUAUACCUGAAAACCCACUGCGCUUCCUCUAUCCCCGAAUCCCCCGGGAUGAAGCUUUUGGGUGCUACUACCAGGAGAAAGUUAAUCUCCAGGAACGGAGGAAAUACCUGAAACACAGGCUCAUUGUGGUCUCUAAUAGACAGGUGGAUGAAGUGCAACAACCGCUGGAGCUUAAGCCAGAGCCAGAGCUGGAGUCAUUAGAGCUGGAACUAGGGCUGGCGCCAGAGCCAGAGCUCAGCCAGGACUUAGAGCAACUGCUGAAGGCAGGGCUGGAUCUGGGGCCAGAGCUAGAAUCUGUGCUGGAGUCCACUCUGGAGCCUGUGAUAGAGCCCACACUAUGCAUGGUAUCACAAACAGUGCCAGAGCCAGACCGAGGACCUGUAUCACAGCCAGUGCCGGAGCCAGAUUUGCCCUGUGAUCUGAGACAUUUGAACACUGAGCCAAUGGAAAUCUUCAGAAACUGUGUAAAGAUUGAAGAAAUCAUGCUGAAUGGUGACCCACUGCUGGCUGGCCAGAACACCGUGGAUGAGGUUUACGUCUCCCGCCCCAGUCACUUCUACACUGAUGGACCCUUGAUGCCUUCUGAAUUCUAGGAACCACAUUUCCUCUGUUCUUUUCAUAUCUCUUGCCCUUCCUACUCCUCAUAGCAUGAUGUUGUUCUCCAAGGAUGGGAAUCAGGCAUGUGUCCCUUCCAAGCUGUGUUAACUGUUCAAACUCAGGCCUGUGUGACUCCAUUGGGGUGAGAGGUGAAAGCAUAACAUGGGUACAGAAGAGACAACAAUGAAUCAGAACAGAUGCUGAGCCAUAGAUCUAAAUAGGAUCCUGGAGGCUGCCUGCUGUGCUGGGCGGUAUAGGGGUCCUGGGGGCAGUCCAGGGCAGUUGACAGGUACUUGGAGGGCUCAGGGCAGUGGCUUCUUUCCAGUUUGGAAGGAUUUCAACAUUUUAAUAGCUGGUUAGGCUAAACUGGCGCACACUGGCAUUGGCCCUUGGGAGCACAGAUACAGGAUAGGACUCCAUUUCUUUCUUCCAUUCCUUCAUGUCUAGGAUAACUUGCUUUCUUCUUUCCUUCACUCCUGACUCAAGCCCUGAAUUUCUUCUUUUCCUGCAGGGGUUGAGAGCUUUCUGCCUUAGCCUACCAUGUGAAACUCUACCCUGAAGAAAGGGAUGGAUAGGAAGUAGACCUCUUUUUCUUACCAGUCUCCUCCCCUACUCUGCCCCUAAGCUGGCUGUACCUGUUCCUCCCCCAUAAAAUGAUCCUGCCAAUCUAAUGUGAGUGUGAAGCUUUGCACACUAGUUUAUGCUACCUAGUCUCCACUUUCUCAAUGCUUAGGAGACAGAUCACUCCUGGAGGCUGGGGAUGGUAGGAUUGCUGGGGAUUUUUUUUUUUUUUUUAAACAGGGUCUCACUCCGUUGCCCAGGCUAGAAUGCAGUGGUGCAAUCACAGCUCACUGCAGCCUCAACCUCCUGGGUUCAAGCAAUCCUCCUACCUCAGCCUCCUGUGUAGCUAGGACCAUGGCAUGCGCCACCAUGCCCUAUUUUUUUUUUUUUUUAAAGACAGGGUCUUGCUAUAUUGCCCAGGCUGGUCUUGAACUCCUGGGCUCAAGUGAUCCUCAUGCCUUGGCCUCCCAAAGUGCUGGGAUUAUAGGCAUGAGCCACUGCGCUUGGCCAGGAAUUUUUUUUUUUUUUUUUUUUAGACGGAGUUUCUCUCUUGUUGUCCAGGCUGGAGUGCAAUGGUGCGAUCUCGGCUCACUGCAACCUCCGCCUUCCGGGUUCAAGUGACUCUCCUGCCUCAGCCUCCCAAGUAGCUGGGAUUACAGAUCUGCACUACCAUGCCCAGCUAAUUUUGUAUUUUUAGUAGAGACGGGGUUUCUCCAUGUUGGUCAGGCUGGUCUCGAACUCCUGACCUCAGGUGAUCUGUCCACCUCGGCCUCCCAGAGUGCUGGGAUUACAGGCGUCAGCCACCGUGCCCAGCAGGAAUUUCUUUUUAUAGUAUUGGCUAAAGUUUGGUGUUUUUACAGAGGAGAAGCAAUGGGUCUUAGCUCUUUCUCUAUUAUGUUAUCAUCCCCCCUUUUUUGUACAAUAUGUUAUUUACCUGAAAGGAAGGUUUCUAUUCCUUGGUUGUGGACCUGGACAAAGUCCAAGUCUGUGGAACUUAAAACCUUGAAGGUCUGUCAUAGGACUCUGGACAAUCUCACACCCAGGGAACCCCAGGGGGCAACUGACAUUGCUCUAAGAUGUCCUCCUGAUGUAGCUUGAGAUAUAAAUGAAAGGCCCUGCACAGGUGGCUGUUUCUUGUCUGUCAGAAAGGGGCUCUUCUGAGCAGAAAUGGCUAAUAAACUUUGUGCUGAUCUGGAAA